GCCGCCCAUUGCCGAGAAAUUGUGAGCCAUUGCCCAGAAAUUUGAGCCAUGGCUGCCCAUUGCCGAGAAAUUUUGUGCCAUUGCCUAGAAAAUUGGGCCAUGGCUGCCCAUUGCCGAGAAAUCUGAGCCAUGGCCGGGCAAAUGGGAGCCAUUGCUCAGAAAUUUUAGCCAUGGCUGCCCAUUGCCAAGAAAUGUUGUGCCAUUGCCUAGAAAAUUGGGCCAUGGCUUCCCAUUGCCGAGAAAUUUAAGGCAUGGCCGGGCAAAUGCGUGGCAUGGCUGCCACAUUCCGAGGGAAAUGAGUGCCAUGCCGGAGAAAUGUGAAACCAGGGUGGGCAAUUGAGAGGAAAAUUGGGCCAUGGUGGGCAUUUGUGUGCCUAGGCUGACAUUGCCUCUAGAAAAAUGGAGAGCCAUUGCCCAGAACAGGAAAUGAGGCCAUGGCUGCCCAUUGCCGAGAAAUCUGAGCCAUGGCCGGGCAAAUGCGUGCCAUGGCUGCCCAUUGCCUAGAAAAUGGAGCCAUUGCCCAGAAAUUUUAGCCAUGGCUGCCCAUUGCCAAGAAAUGUUGUGCCAUUGCCUAGAAAAUUGGGCCAUGGCUUCCCAUUGCCGAGAAAUUUAAGGCAUGGCCGUGCAAAUGCGUGGCAUGGCUGGCCAUUGCCGAGGAAAUGAGUGCCAUUGCCGAGAAAUGUGAACCAUGGCUGGGCAAUUGCCGAGAAAAUUGGGCCAUGGCUGGGCAUUUGUGUGCCUAGGCUGAUCAUUGCCUAGAAAUUGUGAGCCAUUGCCCAGAAAUUUGAGCCAUGGCUGCCCAUUGCCGAGAAAUCUGAGCCAUGGCCGGGCAAA
Molecule: long non-coding RNA, 834 nt
Filed under: Actinidia chinensis (golden kiwifruit)
Lineage: Eukaryota; Viridiplantae; Streptophyta; Magnoliopsida; Ericales; Actinidiaceae
Description: long non-coding RNA (ACHI_LNC000894)
Source: RNAcentral